RNAcentral lists this ribosomal RNA (432 nucleotides) under uncultured bacterium. RNAcentral's name for it is "partial 16S ribosomal RNA". It matches the Rfam family "Bacterial small subunit ribosomal RNA", at positions 29 to 507 of the family's 1533-position model. The record is from RNAcentral.
ACGAACGCUGGCGGCAUGCCUAACACAUGCAAGUCGAACGAGACCUUCGGGUCUAGUGGCGCACGGGUGCGUAACGCGUGGGAACCUGCCCUUAGGUUCGGAAUAACUCCCCGAAAGGGGUGCUAAUACCGGAUAAUGUCUUCGGACCAAAGAUUUAUCGCCUUUGGAUGGGCCCGCGUUGGAUUAGCUAGUUGGUAGGGUAAAAGCCUACCAAGGCGACGAUCCAUAGCUGGUCUGAGAGGAUGAUCAGCCACACUGGGACUGAGACACGGCCCAGACUCCUACGGGAGGCAGCAGUGGGGAAUAUUGGACAAUGGGCGAAAGCCUGAUCCAGCAAUGCCGCGUGAGUGAUGAAGGCCUUAGGGUUGUAAAGCUCUUUUAACCGGGAUGAUAAUGACAGUACCGGGAGAAUAAGCUCCGGCUAACUCCGUG